RNAcentral lists this ribosomal RNA (503 nucleotides) under uncultured bacterium. RNAcentral's name for it is "bacterial SSU rRNA". It matches the Rfam family "Bacterial small subunit ribosomal RNA", at positions 975 to 1482 of the family's 1533-position model. The record is from RNAcentral.
CUACCCUUGACAUGGAAGGAAUCCUUGAGAGAUCGAGGAGUGCCCGAAAGGGAACCUUUACACAGGUGCUGCAUGGCUGUCGUCAGCUCGUGUCGUGAGAUGUUGGGUUAAGUCCCGCAACGAGCGCAACCCUUGUCAUUAGUUGCUACGAAAGGGCACUCUAAUGAGACUGCCGGUGACAAACCGGAGGAAGGUGGGGAUGACGUCAAGUCCUCAUGGCCCUUAUGGGUAGGGCUUCACACGUCAUACAAUGGUACAUACAGAGGGCCGCCAACCCGCGAGGGGGAGCUAAUCCCAGAAAGUGUAUCGUAGUCCGGAUUGUAGUCUGCAACUCGACUACAUGAAGUUGGAAUCGCUAGUAAUCGCGGAUCAGCAUGUCGCGGUGAAUACGUUCCCGGGUCUUGUACACACCGCCCGUCACACCAUGGGAGCGGGUUUUACCAGAAGUAGGUAGCUUAACCGUAAGGAGGGCGCUUACCACGGUAGGAUUCGUGACUGGGGUG